Long non-coding RNA from Rhododendron vialii, 149 nucleotides. RefSeq lists it as uncharacterized. The record is from RefSeq and is a predicted model, not a curated record. NCBI's taxonomy places the organism in Eukaryota, Viridiplantae, Streptophyta, Magnoliopsida, Ericales, Ericaceae. The transcript has 2 exons.
CUUUCUUUUUGGCAGUCAAUAGCUGUUGGUACAGUAUGUGUUUGAUCGUGGUUUGGCUGGACCAGUCGACCUUUGUCUAGCGCUUUAAUGUAAAAAGAAUGAAGCAUCUAACAAGGAAAAUAAAUGGAUUGGUUAUAGCUGUGAAAAAA